UAUUUUCAAAUUUUACAUAAAAUAAUUUAUUAUCAAAAUACCUAAUUUCGUCAUAGUAAAUAAAAUCAUUUUCAAAAAAUAAAAAAUAAAAAAAUAUGUUUUCAAAACAAAAAUAAAUAAAUAAUUUUUUUACAUGUUCAAAUUUUAAUUUUAACACAAAAAGAAUAAAAAUAUAUAAUAAAAUAAAAUUAAAGAAAAAAAAAUAGUCUAAUUUUUAUAAUUUCUUUAGUGAGUCUAACAAGGAUUUUAUACAUAUCUUUAC
Molecule: long non-coding RNA, 262 nt
Filed under: Vigna radiata
Lineage: Eukaryota; Viridiplantae; Streptophyta; Magnoliopsida; Fabales; Fabaceae
Description: long non-coding RNA (VRAD_LNC002984)
Source: RNAcentral